Triticum dicoccoides is the source of this 137-nucleotide long non-coding RNA. RefSeq lists it as uncharacterized. Lineage: Eukaryota; Viridiplantae; Streptophyta; Magnoliopsida; Poales; Poaceae. The record is from RefSeq and is a predicted model, not a curated record. The transcript is spliced from 3 exons.
GAGUUCUCUUCCGAUCUCUCAGGUAGACAGUUUCUAUGGGUCGUAGGCCUCCCAAAAGGUAACGGAGGCAUGCAAAGGUUUCCUCGGGCCAGACGGACAUUGGUCCUCGAGUGCAAAGGCAGAAGGGAGCUUGAUUU